CACGUGGGGUGCGAGCGUUGUCCGGAAUUAUUGGGCGUAAAGAGCUCGUAGGCGGUGUGUCGCGUCGGCCGUGAAAACUUGGGGCUUAACUCUGAGCGUGCGGUCGAUACGGGCAUCACUUGAGUUCGGCAGGGGAGACUGGAAUUCCUGGUGUAGCGGUGAAAUGCGCAGAUAUCAGGAGGAACACCGGUGGCGAAGGCGGGUCUCUGGGCCGAUACUGACGCUGAGGAGCGAAAGCGUGGGGAGCGAACAGG
Molecule: ribosomal RNA, 254 nt
Filed under: uncultured bacterium
Lineage: Bacteria
Description: partial 16S ribosomal RNA
Rfam family: Bacterial small subunit ribosomal RNA
Source: RNAcentral